GUGGGGAAUCUUGCGCAAUGGGCGAAAGCCUGACGCAGCCAUGCCGCGUGAAUGAUGAAGGUCUUAGGAUUGUAAAAUUCUUUCACCGGGGACGAUAAUGACGGUACCCGGAGAAGAAGCUCCGGCUAACUUCGUGCCAGCAGCCGCGGUAAUACGAAGGGGGCUAGCGUUGCGCGGAAUUACUGGGCGUAAAGGGCGCGUAGGCGGACAGCUUAGUCAGAGGUGAAAGCCCAGGGCUCAACCUUGGAAUUGCCUUUGAUACUGGCUGUCUUGAGUUUGGGAGAGGUGAGUGGAACUCCGAGUGUAGAGGUGAAAUUCGUAGAUAUUCGGAAGAACACCAGUGGCGAAGGCGACUCACUGGCCCAAUACUGACGCUGAGGCGCGAAAGCGUGGGGAGCAAACAGGAUUAGAUACCCCAGUAGUCC
RNAcentral lists this ribosomal RNA (425 nucleotides) under uncultured bacterium. RNAcentral describes it as "partial 16S ribosomal RNA". It matches the Rfam family "Bacterial small subunit ribosomal RNA", at positions 354 to 796 of the family's 1533-position model. The record is from RNAcentral.